Molecule: non-coding RNA, 91 nt
Filed under: unclassified sequences
Source: RNAcentral
UAGCAACUGCCACCGGGUAGUGUGAAAUGUAUUGCAUUCACUUGCACAUCGUUAGGUCUUUGAAGAUGUGUCAUGUGGAUGCUUAUUUUUU